UACGGACCGGACAAACGUUAUUCGGAAUCACUGGGCUUAAAGAGUACGUAGGCGGCUCAGAAAGUUGGAUGUGAAAUCCCUCGGCUCAACCGAGGAAUGGCGUUCAAAACUACUGGGCUUGAGGAAGGUAGGGGUGAGCGGAACUGAUGGUGGAGCGGUGAAAUGCGUUGAUAUCAUCAGGAACACCAGUGGCGAAGGCGGCUCACUGGGCCUUUUCUGACGCUGAGGUACGAAAGCUAGGGUAGCGAACGGG
Molecule: ribosomal RNA, 253 nt
Filed under: uncultured bacterium
Lineage: Bacteria
Description: partial 16S ribosomal RNA
Rfam family: Bacterial small subunit ribosomal RNA
Source: RNAcentral